Molecule: ribosomal RNA, 293 nt
Filed under: uncultured bacterium
Lineage: Bacteria
Description: partial 16S ribosomal RNA
Rfam family: Bacterial small subunit ribosomal RNA
Source: RNAcentral
GGAUUAGAUACCCUGGUAGUCCUAGCUGUAAACGAUGGAUACUAGCUGUUUGUGAUUUUAAAUCGUGAGUAGCGAAGCUAACGCGCUAAGUAGACCGCCUGGGGAGUACGGCCGCAAGGUUAAAACUCAAAUGAAUUGACGGGGGCCCGCACAAGCGGUGGAGCAUGUGGUUUAAUUCGAUGCGACGCGAAGAACCUUACCUACACUUGACAUGCAGAGAACUUUCCAGAGAUGGAUUGGUGCCUUCGGGAACUCUGACACAGGUGCUGCAUGGCCGUCGUCAGCUCGUGCCG